This 1061-nucleotide long non-coding RNA is filed under the name Anas platyrhynchos platyrhynchos (common mallard). RNAcentral describes it as "lncRNA (ENSAPLG00000020675.1)". Lineage: Eukaryota; Metazoa; Chordata; Aves; Anseriformes; Anatidae. The record is from RNAcentral.
CAAGAUCAUAUUUGUUCUUCUCAUACUUGAAUAUUUAUAAAAAUAAUUCAAAUUGUGUUAUUAAGGUUUGGAAAGAAAGUGGCAAUACACUAAGAAUGCAAAAAUGAGAGUUUGAAUCUUCAUCUCAUCUUAAACUUUUUAUUUUUUUUACCCAUUGGAUGCAUUCAAGAAACAAGAAGAAAAGGCUUUUCUGAUGUCUCUGAAGUUCACCAGCCGGCUGUUAAAUAGCAGCAUUCUAGUUGCUAGGCUACACCAUGUUUUGCAGGUUCCACGCCGCCUGAAAUUCAUAGCAGAGGACAUUGAAGAGAGACUUGUCUGUGGGCAGAGCACCAUUUCUGAGGGUGGCAUGCUUAUUGGCAAUAAGCAACUAAAAAUCAAACCUCCACAAAGUUAGAUAAGAGAUUCGGCUACAUUGUCUCCACAGUCCAAAGAACAGUAAAAAAUAGUUCACCAGGUGAAAAGAGAAUUCAGUCACCAUGUUCAGUCAGUCCGCUGCAAAUGGAAGUGCUGACACCAGAAUUUUUCCCAUGGGGAUAAAAAAUGGAGAACUAGUUUGUUUUUCCUAGACCUUUGCAUUCCACUUUUUCUCAGCCUCACAAAGAAAUACAAAGAUAUCGGUUGCUGGAACAUCUCACUGACGUACAAGUACCAGUACAACAUAAAACCAGAAACAAAGGAGUCCCAAGGUGCCAUUGCCAGGCCUUUCAAACCAUUCAUUAAUCUUCUUCACCUGGAAUAUAUAGAUGCAGCAGGAAAGAAGAAUGAGUUCAGCAUAUCCCCAUGGCAGACUUAACUGGAUGCCUCUGCCUCUGAAAGUGAGCAAACAAGUUUCUAGGUACUCUGCUGCUCUGCUGUCCGAAAGAUCACCAAGCUUUAUAUCACAAGAAGAAAUAUAUAUUAAAGGUCAUAGAAACAAGGAAUAUUUGUGGAAUAUUAAAAAUUACUGAGUGUGGUUUCAAGUUCAGAUCAAACUUUCUCAGUAAUUCACAUUUGAUGUGCUCCAGCUCAUCCUUCCCCAAUUAAAAUUUGUACGUUUGCCAAUAAAGAUUAAGAGAUCAGCA